GCAAGUCGAGCGCGAAAUCACUUCGGUGAGAGUAGAGCGGCGGACGGGUGAGUAACGCGUAAGAAUCUACCUAGUAGUGGGGGACAACUCGGGGAAACCCAAGCUAAUACCGCAUACGCCCUACGGGGGAAAGCGGGGGAUCUUCGGACCUCGCGCUAUCGGAUGAGCCUGCGUUGGAUUAGCUUGUUGGUGAGGUAAAAGCUCACCAAGGCGACGAUCCAUAGCUGGUCUGAGAGGAUGAUC
Molecule: ribosomal RNA, 243 nt
Filed under: uncultured bacterium
Lineage: Bacteria
Description: partial 16S ribosomal RNA
Rfam family: Bacterial small subunit ribosomal RNA
Source: RNAcentral